RNAcentral lists this ribosomal RNA (259 nucleotides) under uncultured prokaryote. RNAcentral's name for it is "partial 16S ribosomal RNA". It matches the Rfam family "Bacterial small subunit ribosomal RNA", at positions 524 to 782 of the family's 1533-position model. The record is from RNAcentral.
UACGUAGGUGGCAAGCGUUAUCCGGAAUUAUUGGGCGUAAAGAGCGCGCAGGUGGUUGAUUAAGUCUGAUGUGAAAGCCCACGGCUUAACCGUGGAGGGUCAUUGGAAACUGGUCGACUUGAGUGCAGAAGAGGGAAGUGGAAUUCCAUGUGUAGCGGUGAAAUGCGUAGAGAUAUGGAGGAACACCAGUAGCGAAGGCGGCUCUCUGGACUGUAACUGACGCUGAGGCACGAAAGCGUGGGGAGCAAACAGGAUUAGA